GUGGGGAAUAUUGCGCAAUGGGCGAAAGCCUGACGCAGCAACGCCGCGUGAGUGAUGAAGGUCUUCGGAUCGUAAAGCUCUGUCGGCAGGAACGAUGGUUUCAUGGGCUAAUAUCCCGCGAGAUUGACGGUACCUGCAAAGGAAGCACCGGCUAACUCUGUGCCAGCAGCCGCGGUAAUACAGAGGGUGCAAGCGUUGUUCGGAAUCAUUGGGCGUAAAGGGCGCGUAGGCGGUUGAUCAAGUUGAAUGUGAAAGCCCGGGGCUCAACCUCGGAAGUGCAUUCAAAACUGGUUAACUAGAGUUCCGCAGAGGAUGGUAGAAUUCCCAGUGUAGAGGUGAAAUUCGUAGAUAUUGGGAGGAAUACCAGUGGCGAAGGCGACCAUCUGGACGGAAACUGACGCUGAGGCGCGAAAGCGUGGGUAGCAAACAGGAUUAGAAACCCCUGUAGUCC
Molecule: ribosomal RNA, 451 nt
Filed under: uncultured bacterium
Lineage: Bacteria
Description: bacterial SSU rRNA
Rfam family: Bacterial small subunit ribosomal RNA
Source: RNAcentral